GCCCCAUUCGUCCAGCGGCCUAGGACGCCGGCCUUUCACGCCGGUAACACGGGUUCGAAUCCCGUAUGGGGUGCGA
This 76-nucleotide transfer RNA is filed under the name Acidimicrobiaceae bacterium. Its description in RNAcentral is "tRNA-Glu". It matches the Rfam family "tRNA". From Rfam's summary of the family: Transfer RNA (tRNA) molecules are approximately 80 nucleotides in length. Their secondary structure includes four short double-helical elements and three loops (D, anti-codon, and T loops). The record is from RNAcentral. RNAcentral also lists the same sequence under 2 other names. Lineage: Bacteria; Bacillati; Actinomycetota; Acidimicrobiia; Acidimicrobiales; Acidimicrobiaceae.